AUUAAUGAUGAUUUUAAAAUUCUUCACUUUGACCUGAUUGUCUUGAUGAAAAUUGUUUGUCUGAUA
Molecule: small nucleolar RNA, 66 nt
Organism: Carassius auratus (goldfish)
Lineage: Eukaryota; Metazoa; Chordata; Actinopteri; Cypriniformes; Cyprinidae
Product: small nucleolar RNA SNORD37
Source: Ensembl